RNAcentral lists this ribosomal RNA (496 nucleotides) under uncultured Ascomycota. Its description in RNAcentral is "eukaryotic LSU rRNA". The stretch from base 165 to 318 matches the Rfam family "5.8S ribosomal RNA". Lineage: Eukaryota; Fungi; Ascomycota. The record is from RNAcentral.
CAUUACAGAGUUCAUGCCCUCACGGGUAGACCUCCCACCCUUGAAUACUAUACCUUUGUUGCUUUGGCGGGCCGCCUUGGCUACUGGCUCCGGCUGGUAAGUGCCCGCCAAAGGACCCCAAAACUCUGAAUAUUAGUGUCGUCUGAGUACUAUAUAAUAGUUAAAACUUUCAACAACGGAUCUCUUGGUUCUGGCAUCGAUGAAGAACGCAGCGAAAUGCGAUAAGUAAUGUGAAUUGCAGAAUUCAGUGAAUCAUCGAAUCUUUGAACGCACAUUGCGCCCCUUGGUAUUCCGAGGGGCAUGCCCGUUCGAGCGUCAUUAUAACCCCUCAAGCCUAGCUUGGUGUUGGGGCCUGCUGUUACCGGCAGCCCUUAAAAUCAGUGGCGGUGCCAUCUGGCUCUAAGCGUAGUAAUACUUCUCGCUACAGGGUCCCGGUGGAUGCUUGCCAUCAACCCCUAAUUUUCUAUGGUUGACCUCGGAUCGGGUAGGGAUACCC